RNAcentral lists this small nuclear RNA (107 nucleotides) under Cricetulus griseus (Chinese hamster). Lineage: Eukaryota; Metazoa; Chordata; Mammalia; Rodentia; Cricetidae. The record is from RNAcentral.
UUAAAUAUGGAACACUUCACGAAUUUGUGUGUCAUCCUUGUGCAGGGGCCAUGCUAAUCUUCUCUGUACCAUUCCAAUUUUAGUAUAUGUGCUGUUGAAGCGGGCAC